Molecule: ribosomal RNA, 359 nt
Filed under: Metapenaeus ensis
Lineage: Eukaryota; Metazoa; Arthropoda; Malacostraca; Decapoda; Penaeidae
Description: partial large subunit ribosomal RNA
Rfam family: Bacterial large subunit ribosomal RNA
Source: RNAcentral
UAAUCAUUAGUCUUUUAAUUGGAGGCUUGUAUGAAUGGUUGGACAAAAAAUAAGCUGUCUCUGUUUUAUUUCUUGAAUUUAACUUUUAAGUGAAAAGGCUUAAAUGUUCUAGGGGGACGAUAAGACCCUAUAAAGCUUUACAGUGUGCUAAUUAAAUUAUAAAUUGUUAGUAUAAACUUGGUUUGGUUAGUAGCUGUUUCGUUGGGGCGACGAAAAUAUAAUUGAUAGUAACUGUUUUUCUUUUAUAAUAACAAUAAAUUUUUGGUAGAAAUUGAUCCUUUAUUAAAGAUUAAAAGAUUAAGUUACUUUAGGGAUAACAGCGUAAUCUUCUUUGAGAGUUCAUAUCGACAAGAAGGGUU